This 253-nucleotide long non-coding RNA is filed under the name Phaseolus vulgaris (common bean). Its description in RNAcentral is "long non-coding RNA (PVUL_LNC004124)". The record is from RNAcentral. Lineage: Eukaryota; Viridiplantae; Streptophyta; Magnoliopsida; Fabales; Fabaceae.
UUUUAAAGAGAUGACAUGACAUAGUAUAGAAGAGCUAAGGUAAAUUCAAAAUUUCAAAACCAAGGGAGGCCACAAAUUCAAAACCAAGGGAGCCGCCCAUAGGCUCGACACAGCACGGGAAGAUUACAAGAAACACUUCCAAAUAUUACAAUAGAGAAACCAGUUCACAGUUCAACCCAUAUGGUUGGUGACAAAGUCCAAAAUUACUCAAAUACCUUCAAAUGAGUCAUUGGUUGUGUUAGCUGUAAAGCCC